GGUGGCGAGUGGCGAACGGGUGAGUAAUAUAUCGGAACGUGCCCAGUCGUGGGGGAUAACGUAGUGAAAAUUACGCUAAUACCGCAUACGAUCUAAGGAUGAAAGCGGGGGAUCGCAAGACCUCGCGCGAUUGGAGCGGCCGAUAUCAGAUUAGGUAGUUGGUGAGGUAAAGGCUCACCAAGCCAACGAUCUGUAGCUGGUCUGAGAGGACGACCAGCCACACUGGAACUGAGACACGGUCCAGACUCCUACGGGAGGCAGCAGUGGGGAAUUUUGGACAAUGGACGCAAGUCUGAUCCAGCCAUUCCGCGUGCAGGACGAAGGCCUUCGGGUUGUAAACUGCUUUUGUACAGAACGAAAAGGUCUCUAUUAAUACUAGGGGCUCAUGACGGUACUGUAAGAAUAAGCACCGGCUAACUACGUGCCAGCGGCCGCGGUAAUACGUAGGGUGCAAGCGUUAAUCGGAAUUACUGGGCGUAAAGCGUGCGCAGGCGGUUAUAUAAGACAGAUGUGAAAUCCCCGGGCUCAACCUGGGAACUGCAUUUGUGACUGUAUAGCUGGAGUGCGGCAGAGGGGGAUGGAAUUCCGCGUGUAGCAGUGAAAUGCGUAGAUAUGCGGAGGAACACCGAUGGCGAAGGCAAUCCCCUGGGCCUGCACUGACGCUCAUGCACGAAAGCGUGGGGAGCAAACAGGAUUAGAUACCCUGGUAGUCCACGCCCUAAA
This 723-nucleotide ribosomal RNA is filed under the name uncultured bacterium. Its description in RNAcentral is "bacterial SSU rRNA". It matches the Rfam family "Bacterial small subunit ribosomal RNA", at positions 87 to 806 of the family's 1533-position model. The record is from RNAcentral.